GAUGAACGCUGGCGGCGUGCCUAAUACAUGCAAGUCGAGCGAACGGACGAGAAGCUUGCUUCUCUGAUGUUAGCGGCGGACGGGUGAGUAACACGUGGAUAACCUACCUAUAAGACUGGGAUAACUUCGGGAAACCGGAGCUACUACCGGAUAAUAUUUUGAACCGCAUGGUUCAAAAGUGAAAGACGGUCUUGCUGUCACUUAUAGAUGGAUCCGCGUUGCAUUAGCUAGUUGGUAAGGUAACGGCUUACCAAGGCAACGAUGCAUAGCCGACCUGAGAGGGUGAUCGGCCACACUGGAACUGAGACACGGUCCAGACUCCUACGGGAGGCAGCAGUAGGGAAUCUUCCGCAAUGGGCGAAAGCCUGACGGAGCAACGCCGCGUGAGUGAUGAAGGUCUUCGGAUCGUAAAACUCUGUUAUUAGGGAAGAACAUAUGUGUAAGUAACUGUGCACAUCUUGACGGUACCUAAUCAGAAAGCCACGGCUAACUACGUG
Molecule: ribosomal RNA, 497 nt
Filed under: uncultured bacterium
Lineage: Bacteria
Description: partial 16S ribosomal RNA
Rfam family: Bacterial small subunit ribosomal RNA
Source: RNAcentral